GAUGAACGCUGGCGGCGUGCCUAAUACAUGCAAGUCGAGCGAACAGACGAGGAGCUUGCUCCUCUGACGUUAGCGGCGGACGGGUGAGUAACACGUGGAUAACCUACCUAUAAGACUGGGAUAACUUCGGGAAACCGGAGCUAAUACCGGAUAAUAUAUUUAACCACAUGGUUCAAUAGUGAAAGACGGUUUUGCUGUCACUUAUAGAUGGAUCCGCGCCGCAUUAGCUAGUUGGUAAGGGAACGGCUUCCCAAGGCAACGAAGCGUAGCCGACCUGAGAGGGUGAUCGGCCCCACUGGAACGGGAACCCGGUCCAGACUCCUCCGGGGGGCAGCAGAAGGGAAUUUUCCGCAAUGAGCGAAAGCUUGACGAAGCAACGCCGCGUAAGGGAUGAAGGUCUUCGGAUCGUAAACCUCUUUUAUUAGGGAAGAACAAGUGUGUAAGUAAAGACUCACGUCUUGACGGUACCUACUCAGAAAGCCACGGCUAACUACGUG
RNAcentral lists this ribosomal RNA (497 nucleotides) under uncultured bacterium. RNAcentral's name for it is "partial 16S ribosomal RNA". It matches the Rfam family "Bacterial small subunit ribosomal RNA", at positions 28 to 507 of the family's 1533-position model. The record is from RNAcentral.